Molecule: non-coding RNA, 1220 nt
Organism: Myodes glareolus (Bank vole)
Lineage: Eukaryota; Metazoa; Chordata; Mammalia; Rodentia; Cricetidae
Source: RefSeq, a predicted model, not a curated record
GCCAGUUGGUGGGUGUUAUCCCCCAACUGCGCAGCUUCUCCAGCGCGGCCUCAGGAAAAACCAGUUUUGGAAGCACCACACCUUGGGUCAGAUGAUGCAACGUGAUAUUAGCGUCGGGUUGCAUCAGCGGUUCUGACGCAUGUGCCUUUUACGCCGACAGAAAGCAGUAUAAUGGGGCCGGAGAAAGAGACAUUCGCUGCCUGAAAGCCUUUUAAAGGCGCCCUCAGCGUUUCUAAUUGGCCACACAGGGUGUUGUCGGGAAGAUAAACGCCCAACCAGCCACCUCCCCCGACAAGCUCCGGCAUGCCGUUUCCUGAAACCGGGAUCUGACGGCACACUUAAGGCAGAAUUCUUUUCUGGUUGGUUUUAAUGUUUUAUACCAAAGCCUCAAGGUUUAAUCUUUUCAAUCUUUUCGAAUGCCCGGCCUAUUAAGAGGCUUUCAAACGGUGCUCCUAUGUGGUAUUGACCUGAAUAUCUCCAAAAUGCACCAGUUGAUGCUCAUCUUCGGAGUUGUUUUACAUAAGUGCUUCCGGCUCUCGGGGCACACAGACUUGUGACUUUAUCAAAUAACUUAGAUUUGGUUCUCUUGGAGUCUCUGUCUGUUUUCAGAGUGAAUCCCCACCCCCUGCUUCUCGAUAUAAUAAAGAAUGAACCGCAAAGACCCUAGAACGCUCUAGUCAACCAAGAAAGUUGAAGAAAAAAAAACUUUCACAGUAGUCAACUCCGGCACUUGAGAGAGGGAGGAAAGAGGAUCAAGUUCAAUGCCGGCUUGGGCUACAUGGUGGGUUCAGCCAUCCUGGGCUGCCUGAGACAAAACAAAACACUAAAGAAAACGAAAGAAACCUUUGGUAGAAGAAAAAGCGACACUGAGAUGCAAGCCUUCCCCUGGCACCAGCCAAGUCGAUCUUUGUCCAAUCGACAAUCCUGCACGUUGCUUGCCCGGUUCUACGAGCUGGCGCCUGUCGACUUCUCAGCCUUGCCAUUUUAAUCUCACCCCAGCACCUCUGGCCACUUCCUUUCCGGGGAACCCUGCACUAUUCUAUGGGGCUGGGAAAAUGCUUUUUCUGGCAGGUCGGAUUCUUUAAAUUGCUCAACUCAGCUUGCCCAGGAAACGCCUUCCUUGAUCCUGGAAUGGAGGCACGUCCCUCGUUGGCUGCUGCGUGAGCAAAGCAACUAUUUUCCAGCGAGUGUCCUCAGGUGACCUGUCUAGACGCUCAGAG